This 2652-nucleotide long non-coding RNA is filed under the name Mus musculus (house mouse). RNAcentral describes it as "long non-coding RNA chr17:25773812-25776464". The record is from RNAcentral. Lineage: Eukaryota; Metazoa; Chordata; Mammalia; Rodentia; Muridae.
GAGGCUGUCAUGGCGUCGCCCUUCAGUGGGGCACUACAGCUGACCGACUUGGACGACUUCAUCGGGCCAUCUCAGGUGGGCCGGCCAAGGGCGAGUCGGGCAGGAGGAGGGUCCGAGCCUGGCCGUGCACCUCGGGAAACCUCUCUCGUCUGUGUCUUUUCCCAGGGCCCAGGACCCAGGGCCUCAGUCAGUCUAGUUCCCUUUUCACAAACACAGACAACUGAGGCCAGGGAGGGCCAGACAACGCGGUUACUGGGCCCGGAGCGAUCCCUGGGACCAUGGGAGUGUUUAGUGGUGACAGGCAGGUUUAGUGUUUAAAAAAAAAAGGUGGGGGGACUUGUUGUUAUGUGAUCUUAAGUUACUGUUGUAGUAGUGUCACCCAGCUGGUGAUGCAGAGACAUGGUGGGGCUGAGUUAGCCUCCACACACCUGUGAGAUAUCCCUUCCCACUCCUCUCUCAGAGCCAGUUGUCAUCUCUGUGGACAGGGACCAUGUUGAAGGGACAGGUUUGAUGUCCACUUGGGCCACAGCCACAGCUAAUGUUCCUGACGUUGCCUCGAGGAAGAGAGAGGGAUACAGACAGACCGCCCUGAAAACAGGAGCUGCUGCCCUUGCUGGGUCUUCCUUUGUCUCCAGAGCUAGCCAAGUCCCAUGACCCAUAAAAGACGGGCUGAGCUGCCACACGGACAGGAUGAACUGGGCCAUCUUACCCGAGACUGGCCCUUUUCUGGAAAGCCACCAAGGUUCAGGAAGCGAUAACAGGAGAUGUCCAAGAGAAGGGGAGAGACAUGGAGUUUCAUCUGUGGUCGUGGGAUGGAGGUGACCUCUAGAUGUUUCCAAGGAAAGCCUUCCUGUCUGGCCAGGCCUCUGACACUCUGAUCUCCGGGGGUGUGCUGCUAUGUGCACGUAGGAAGGGCAGGCUAGUCAGGGCUUCUUGCAUUAGCUUGCAUAUAGAGUUUGUAGCAGAUUUCAUGGUGAUUCUGGAGAAAGAGUGGCCUUGAUGGCAUUCUCCUCACCUUGUACAGAGAAGGGUGGGCAACCAGAGCUCAGCAUGGCUUCAGUGGCAGGAAGGUGGUAGAAUUGGCCUCGGUGGUGAGCUUCACUCUAUGGCCGGUAGCCAACCAUCCCUGAGGCCCUCCAUACCCAGCCCCCCACCCCACUCCCCACCCUCCCCACCCCCCGUCCAAGUUGCUUUCUCCUAAUAGAGCCUGGUGUGGGGUCUUUCCUGGUGUAGAAUUGCAUCAAGCCUGUAAAGGUGGCUAAGAAGCCAGGAAGUGGCAUAGCCAAGAUCCACAUUGAAGACGAUGGCAGUUACUUCCAAGUGAACCAAGUAAGGACCCUGAGGUCUCACCACAUCCCUGCUGGGGGCUGGCGGUGGCAGGAGGGGGAGGGAGGCUGGGGUGUGGAUCUGAAACACACAUCUUCUUCUGCCUUUCCCAGUCGCAGAUGUGGCCACCCUGAAACUCACUGCAUCUCCCCAGCUCUCUCACUGGUCACAUUCACUGACCACGGGGAGCUGAGAUGAUGAACAGGGCUGCCAUGGUGAGCAGCCAGUCUGUCCUGUUCUGCACGGGGCAGGAGGAGCCUCCCCUCCUCCUUUGCCCCCUACGUUUAGUAGCAUAAGAUUUUGAGGGGGUUGGUUCCCUCAAGCCCCUCCUCCCUCUAAUCUGAAAGUUAGAUCCUGAUGUCUGUUAAAAUUAACCCUGCCUGGCUGCCCUUUGCACUCUAAGGAAUCCCCUUCAAAAUACCGUGCGCCACUGCCCUGAGAAGGGAGGCCCAGCCAUGGGACCUCUGAAUAGGGGAGGAACCUUGGGCAGGUUCAGGGAAUGGGUGUGCAUAUCGCCAUGAGCAGUGACAAGCCCAGCUGUUUGUCUACAACAGUGACCUCGUGACAGUCUGUGGCAUCAGCUAGACCCCAGUGUACCAGGAGGCCCUGGUUCUCAACAAGGGGUCCCAUGGAUGGAGGGACAGAGGAAGGUGCCCAUCACCACUGGUCUGUGCUUUAAGGACAAGUGGCCUUGUCCGCAUGAUGCUGGUGUAGCCUGGGCCUGUGGACCUUUGGUUUCCUGGCGUGGUUAACCUCAGGUUGGGGCAUUGGCACCAAGCACAGGCUCCGAGAAUAGCUGAAGCUCACCUAGCCCUGGCUCAGACCAUUUCUGCAUCUGCAGCAGUGUUGAUGGGCUCAGCCUGGCACCACAUUUGCAUGACAAGAACCACUGAGGGUGUCCUGGAGGCCCUGGUUUGAAUACUGGGGUCCUGGGUCUGUUCUACCAAUUCUGAUAGUUGUUACUGUCUGUACAGCCUUCUCUCGCAUUCCCCCACCCUCUCUUCCUUCCUCCAUUCUUGGUUAUCCCUCCUCUAUUCCCAGCCUGUCCCCACAGACCAGAGCAGCAGCAGCCAGUCCCAGCAGGGCAGUUGCUUCUGCACUGACUUAUGGAAAGACAGCCUUGCUCAUGGGGUCCUGGUACUCCAGUCAAGCCUGUGCCAAAAGCUGAAACUUGAUGUCAGUGGGAACACCGGGGUGUCUAAAGCAUCUGUGUAUGUGUGUGAUACACACUUCAUUUAAAAACUGGGUGUCAGGGCUGAAGGUAGAGCUUCCUGGUGGAGUGUUGGCUUCUUGUUUGCGGGGCCCUGAAUUCCACCUACUGUCAGG